GGCUUUGUGGCGGAAUUGGUAGACGCGCUGGAUUCAAAACCCGGUUCUUAUGGAGUGAGGGUUCAAGUCCCUUCGAAGCUA
RNAcentral lists this transfer RNA (81 nucleotides) under Enterococcus durans. RNAcentral describes it as "tRNA-Leu". It matches the Rfam family "tRNA". From Rfam's summary of the family: Transfer RNA (tRNA) molecules are approximately 80 nucleotides in length. Their secondary structure includes four short double-helical elements and three loops (D, anti-codon, and T loops). Further hydrogen bonds mediate the characteristic L-shaped molecular structure. tRNAs have two regions of fundamental functional importance: the anti-codon, which is responsible for specific mRNA codon recognition, and the 3' end, to which the tRNAs corresponding amino acid is attached (by aminoacyl-tRNA synthetases). tRNAs cope with the degeneracy of the genetic code in two manners: having more than one tRNA (with a specific anti-codon) for a particular amino acid; and 'wobble' base-pairing, i.e. permitting non-standard base-pairing at the 3rd anti-codon position. The record is from RNAcentral. Lineage: Bacteria; Bacillati; Bacillota; Bacilli; Lactobacillales; Enterococcaceae.